GACGAACGCUGGCGGCGUGCUUAACACAUGCAAGUCGAACGGUGAAGGUGGGAGCUUGCUCCUGCUGGAUCAGUGGCGAACGGGUGAGUAACACGUGAGUAACCUGCCCUUGACUCUGGGAUAAGCGUUGGAAACGACGUCUAAUACCGGAUACGAGCUUCAGCCGCAUGGCUAGGAGUUGGAAAGAUUUUUCGGUUAAGGAUGGACUCGCGGCUUAUCAGCUUGUUGGUGAGGUAAUGGAUCACCAAGGCGACGACGGGUAGACGGCCUGAGAGCGUGAGCGGCCACACUGGCCCUGAGACACAGCCCAGCAUCGUACGGGAGGCAGCAGUGGGGAAUAUUGCACAAUGGGCGCCAGCCUGAUGCAGCACCUCCGCGUGCGGGACGACGGCCUUCGGGUUGUAAACCUCUUUUAGGAGGGAAGAAGCGCAAGUGACGGUACCUGCAGAAAAAGCACCGGCUAACUACGUGCCAGCCGCCGCCGUAA
Molecule: ribosomal RNA, 487 nt
Filed under: uncultured bacterium
Lineage: Bacteria
Description: partial 16S ribosomal RNA
Rfam family: Bacterial small subunit ribosomal RNA
Source: RNAcentral